Molecule: ribosomal RNA, 348 nt
Filed under: Triticum aestivum (bread wheat)
Lineage: Eukaryota; Viridiplantae; Streptophyta; Magnoliopsida; Poales; Poaceae
Description: partial small subunit ribosomal RNA
Source: RNAcentral
AUGCUGCAGUACGCCGAUGACACCCUCAUCCUCUUUCAGGGUAGCACUCAGCAGGCCACCAUCAUCAAGCAUAUCCUGGCAUCCUUCUCGGUGUUCUCGGGCUUGCAGAUAAACUACCACAAGAGCACUUUGAUUCCGGUUUGCGUGGAUGACAGUACUACUACACAUAUUGCACAAUUGUUCGGCUGCCCAGUCUCAAGUUUUCCUUGCACCUACCUUGGCCUCCCGCUGUCUCUACACAAAAUCAAGCAUGGUUUGCUUCUGCCAGUAAUUCACAGGGUUGACAAAAGGUUGUCGGGCUGGUUGGCUACUUUUUUUGUCUUGGGGAGGUCGGCUCACCUUAAUUGA